This 492-nucleotide ribosomal RNA is filed under the name uncultured bacterium. RNAcentral's name for it is "partial 16S ribosomal RNA". It matches the Rfam family "Bacterial small subunit ribosomal RNA", at positions 29 to 507 of the family's 1533-position model. The record is from RNAcentral.
AGUGAACGCUGGCGGUAGGCCUAACACAUGCAAGUCGAACGGCAGCACAGUAAGAGCUUGCUCUUACGGGUGGCGAGUGGCGGACGGGUGAGGAAUACAUCGGAAUCUACUUUUUCGUGGGGGAUAACGUAGGGAAACUUACGCUAAUACCGCAUACGACCUACGGGUGAAAGCAGGGGAUCUUCGGACCUUGCGCGAUUGAAUGAGCCGAUGUCGGAUUAGCUAGUUGGCGGGGUAAAGGCCCACCAAGGAGACGAUCCGUAGCUGGUCUGAGAGGAUGGUCAGCAACACUGGAACUGAGACACGGUCCAGACUCCUACGGGAGGCAGCAGUGGGGAAUAUUGGACAAUGGGCGCAAGCCUGAUCCAGCCAUACCGCGUGGGUGAAGAAGGCCUUCGGGUUGUAAAGCCCUUUUGUUGGGAAAGAAAAGCAGCAGGUUAAUACCCCGCUGUUCUGACGGUACCCAAAGAAUAAGCACCGGCUAACUUCGUG